This is a non-coding RNA of Triticum urartu, 3522 nucleotides long. NCBI's taxonomy places the organism in Eukaryota, Viridiplantae, Streptophyta, Magnoliopsida, Poales, Poaceae. The record is from RefSeq and is a predicted model, not a curated record.
AACCUCCGGCGACUGCGUCGCGACUCUCUUAUCCUCUUGUCCGGCGAGCCGCCCUCCACUCCGCGGCCGCGCCAUCUACUCCUUACCUGCCUCACCUUAUCCCCUCCCACCAUCUCUCCACUCUGCCUCUCAGUGUUCCCGUGCUCCUCUGGCGCCCGCAUCCAGAUCUGGCCGCCUAGGGUUCGCUGCCGCCUAAGAUGGCCACCAUGGAGCUCGCCGCCGCUGGAUCCGGCGGCCAAGUCCUUGACCAGAUGCCGCAGUCAAGGAGGAGGCAGGGUCAAGAAGAGGCGGCGCCGUCCCAGGCUGGUGCGAGAAGCGCGCUGGUCCUCCUUCCGGCCAGUGGCUACCUUGCUCCAGGCCUGCUCCUGGGUUAAUGUUGAGCGACGACGGCGGCGAAAACCACCUGGGAUGCGAAGGAGAAGCAUGGUGUCCGACCAUUGGGGGUAGGGAAGCAUGGAUCCAGUGGCUGCAACUAAUUUCUGGGCUGAUUCGAGCUGCCUCCUUGCCACCACGGCCGAAGGUGUAAGCGGGUGACGGUGUUGCUAAAACUCAAAGCCACCAAUGCAACUCCCACAACUCGACCAUACCUCAGGCUUGAUAUUCUUCCUUAAUCCAACGUGUUUCUAUUGAAAGUACUCAGUGGUUAACGGAUUGUUGGUUUCAUGAUGUGCUUAGCGAGAUUGAUAUUUUUUUAGUACGGGUUGACCACGUCUUAGGUUGGUCAGACUAUCCACACACUGGCAUGUGUAUUGCCCUGUCUAACAUUUCAUUAAGCAGGUUGAUUUUUUCCUUAGUAUAGUCCUUAUUCCUUAAGCAGGUUGAUUUUUUCAAGUAAUUGCCUUAAUAGCAGAAAAUAGUGUACCGAUGAAAAAAAUAAUAUGAAUAUUGCCCUGUCUAACAUUUCAUUUCUCCAUGCUCUGGCAAGUGCUGCUUCAUCCCUCAAAUUGACUUAUGUAACCAGAUUAAAGUUGUACGCACACAUGAAAAAAAGAUCGCUAAUAUGCACAUCCUCCUUUACAGUCAUUGUUAUUUCAAACAAGACUGACAAUUUUUUAUCAUGGGACAUGUAUUGGUCCUUAAUAAGUGUCAAAUGAACUUCCUCCUUUCCCAGCCAUUCAUGCAAUCCAAAUGUUAAGAUGCACUGUUUAAGUGAACAUAGAUUGCUUAUGCAGGUGCAUAUUGAACUACUUACUGCGGCUUCUGAAUUUAUGGAUUGUGUGCAAAGUUUUCAUUGUUUCUGCAGUUACGUUCCUACCUUUCCACAUCCUUGAUUGCAGUCUUACUAUUAUAUAAUAUCCAUUCAAUGUUUACUGCCUAGGUCUAUAUCCUUGCCUGCAUAUUUACUUGGCAAAUUAUAUUUGCAAUGAGUUCUAGAUUAGACUAGAUAUAGACACAAUCAUAUAGUUUCUUGUUGUUGCACUUACACACGAAUUGGUUCAUCAAAUUACUUUGUUAUUAGGCGAGGUCUCCAUUCUUAUUUGUACAACUUGAAAUGAAAUAGUCAAUGAUCUUAAAUUGUUUACAAUGGACAUAUAUGUAAACAAAUGAGUUGGCAUAGAGGGGCAUCUUCAUCGUCUCACUGCUAAAGUAUUUGUGUUACUCACACACUCAUCUGUUUAGUAUAUAUGUCUUACUUGCAUAUUUAAACUGAAGAUCCAUUUGUAGUGUGCACGUUUACAGAUAAACUGUACUAAUUCAAAAACCUUGCAACUGUUACAUAUACACAUAAGCAUCAUUAUUCAGAGUAGCAGUUGCACUUCAAUACAGAAAAUUCAGGUUUCAGGAAAAGAAGUACAACCAUGCAGAACUAGCUUCAGGUUGCAUAAAAAGACCAAAUAAGUAAACUAGUGUUUCAGCCUUUUAGUUAAGCAUGGGAGCUAUGUGCACCGGGCUGCCGUACAUAGUAGAACUCUCACAAACAUAAGAGUCUGUAUUUAAUCUUCAUGGUCUGAGAACAGGACCUUCAGCUUAUUUAACCCUGCUAUGGAAUAUUAGUAUAUUACUCCCAAAUUGUACAAGUUGAAUUUAUAUAGCAAGUAAAAGCAAUACAUUGGGUAAAAUGAGCACAAAGUAAUUAUUCCAUGGUUGUAGUUGAAACUGAAGCACGUCGACAAGCUGAACAAUGCAUGAUGCUGACUAGUGAUAUUUUUGCUAGGUGAAGCCCUACGAGCCCAGGUCGUCUUCCUCAUCCCACCGCUAUCAUAUUGCAUGAGUCUAAUACGACCAAUUUAGUGAAUUAUUAUUGUUCAGUGGCUUGUGCAUUUGCGCGUGUAAUUGUGUAUGUGCCAAGAUAUUGUUUCAAUUGAUAAGGUGGAUUCCUGAGUACAAUUUGUUGAUGCAGUUCCUUUCCUUUUACGACGUUAGUUGUUUCAUGUUCAUAAUGACUUCUAAUGGUGAACACCCUCCAGACUGUGCUUUUUGGCAAGAUAAAAAAAAUUCUACUAGGAAAAGGGGAUGUUGGGUGGUUCUGAAUGUUAAAAUAUUAUGCGCAGUGGCACAUUCUAUAUUAUUCCAUAUUUAUAGUCCAUGAUUUUAAACAGUGUCCACUAGGAUUGUGGCUUUCAAUGACCACAACCUGUUAUUUGACUUCUUUGUGUUACCGUAGUGCACUAUAUUAUGCAUGUGACAUGAGAACAAACUAUGGAAACCUUCCCAUGGAAAAAAUAGAACUGGUUUAUGUCCAUCAAAUAUUUCCAUACAUGGUUUCUGAUAUGAUUGUUUGAACUGGUAGUUGUAGACUCAUAGGUACAUCUCGUUGCUUGUUAAUCUGCCCUAGGCCAAAAAAAUUAUCAGCACAUAAAGUUCUAGUCUAAAUCCUUUUAUUAUCUAAGUUGCAGGAUAACAAUCAAUAUUCUGUGUUUAUAAUUAUAUCCAAGUUUCCUAGUUUCAAGAACACACUUGAUGGUCAUCACUGGUUGUAGAAGUGCUACCGCUGUUGUUAGUUGGUGGCUGCUAGCGUGCUUGCUCGCUGAUGUGUAUGCUGUAUGGAUCUUCUAUGCUUGAUGGUGUGAUGAUGGCUGAUGCUGCUGCCUAUUCUAUAUGCUUGCGGGUGUGCUUCUGUUGUGUUGAUUUCGUUGUGCUUCUGUUGCUACUGCCUGCUAUUUUCCAGCUUGCUGUACUGUUUUCCACUAUAUUCUGCGGCUGCCACUUUCUCAUUUUCAUGUGAAGUUACUUGUAUAAAAAAGAUGGGACACUAUCCCCAUUUGAUGCACAAAAUUUAAAAUCCACCUUUUUGACUUACAGUGUGUUUCUUUUGUAGGAGAGAUAUGCAUGAGGACUAAUAAACAAGUAGCCGGGGUUCGCUCCAACUGGAUGUUUUGUAUAUUUUUACAUUGGACAUUCACCUCUUAGCUAUCCUUUUGUGAGCCUGAUGUAUGGUAUCUUGGAUAAUGAACCAAAAAUAAUAGUACCACCAAGUUACCUUUUGUGAACCAGAUGUAUGGUGUCUUGGUGAUUAUGUUUGGAACAAAUGAAUUAUAUGUAUGUGACAAUUAAUGGAAUAGAAAAUGUUUGGUGCACUUA